GAGUCACGUGAUGCAUGUCAUGGCCGCCUCCAUGGCCCGGGGAGGCGUGAGUGCCAGGGUUCUACUGCAGGCUGCCAGGGGCACCUGGUGGAACAGACCUGGGGGCACUUCCGGGUCGGGGGAGGGGGUGGCGCUGGGGACAACCAGAAAGUUUCAAGCGACAGGCUCGCGCCCGGCUGGAGAGGAGGACGCGGGCGGCCCGGAGCGGCCCGGGGACGUAUUCUACCCGGGCCCUGAGCCCAUCAUCCAGUUCGGCAUUCGCACUUCCAUCUGUCCCCAGGGUGAACGUGGUGUUCGUAGACCGCUCAGGCCAGCGGAUCCCAGUGAGUGGCAGAGUCGGGGACAAUGUUCUUCACCUGGCCCAGCGCCACGGGGUGGACCUGGAAGGGGCCUGUGAAGCCUCCCUGGCCUGCUCCACCUGCCAUGUGUAUGUGAGUGAAGACCACCUGGAUCUCCUGCCUCCUCCCGAGGAGAGGGAAGACGACAUGCUAGACAUGGCCCCCCUCCUCCAGGAGAACUCGCGGCUGGGCUGCCAGAUUGUGCUGACACCGGAGCUGGAAGGAGCGGAAUUCACCCUGCCCAAGAUCACCAGGAACUUCUACGUGGAUGGCCAUGUCCCCAAGCCCCACUGACAUGAACACCUGGACCAUUCCACAUUGCCAUGGCCCCAGGGCCCAGAUUGAGGGAAUAGCCAGGUGCCAGCCCUGCCCAGAGUGCGGACAGGCCCGGGAGAGACGUGGAAGCCCCUGUGAAGGACAACACCCCUGCUUGGGAGAGAGUCCCAUGUCCAGGCUCUGGUGGGGACAGGGCCCCUAGUGGGGUGGCCUUCCCCAGGCCCCUGAGAAUCAGGGUUUGAGUAGGAGUGGACUCAUAUUGGAGCUGCAAUAAAUCGAUAACACAGGCCCCAGCAUGUUGAGUGUCCUUGGGGGACAGAUCUGGGGUCUACAGGUGGCUCACACCUGUAAUCCUAGCACUUUGGGAAGCCAAGAUGGGAGGAUCACUUGAGGCCAGGAGCUUAAGACCAUCCUGGGCAACAUGGCGAGACCUCGUCUCUAUAAAAACAGUAAAAAUUAGCGUGGAGUGGUGGUAAGUGCCUGUAGUCCCAGCUACUCGGGAGACUGAGGUGGGAGGAUCACUUGAGCCCAGGGGAUUUAGGCUGCAGUGGAGCGGUGAUCAGGCCAUUCCACUCCAGCCUGGGUGACAGAGUGAGGCCCUGUCUCAAAAAAAAAAAAAACAAAAACAAAAACAAACCACACCUGCAUCUGCUGUGCUGGGCCCCCGGUUCUCUUUUCCCUCUGGGAUCUAAGAUGCCGCUGGGGAUCCAAGGCAGAGGCCUGGGAGCCCCCAUUUCCGAGGGGGAGGGCUAGCGUGGAAGGCCCCGCCCCGGCAGCUGCGGAGGGAUUUGGUGGGGUCCAGGCCGCCCUUGCCACGCAGGGGUGCGCGGAUGACCUGAAAAAAGCCAGAAAGAGGAAAGGUGCCGCCGAGGCUGGUCGCUCUCAGCUGGGGCUCAUCGCAUCCUCUACCAAGAGCGCUCCCACCACACAGGUCCCGCCCCUCCCAGGUGGGUUUCAUCGGGUGGGCCCAGCGGGACAGGGCCGGGUGAAAUUAGGGAGGGGGCUGGGCUGGGGCGCAAUGGAGGCCGAGCCAAUCCCGGACUCCUCAAUGCCAGCAAAGCUUCUGGCGCCGCCCUGUCUGAACCUGGAGCGGCUGGGAGGAUCCCCCUCCCAGGAGAAGCCGAGGACCCCAGGAUGCUGCAGAAUCAGUGAGAGGUCCCUCUGGCCUGCAUGCCAGGAGUCGGUCACCGCCCUGUGCUUCCUCCAAGAGACAGUGGAGAGGCUGGGUCAGUCCCCUGCCCAGGACACCCCGGUCCUGGGGCCUUGCUGGGACCCGAUGGCUCUGGGGACUCAGGGCCGCCUGCUGCUGGACAGGGAUUCCAAGGACACACAGACCAGGAUCAGCCAAAAGGGCCGCCGUCUGCAGCCCCCGGGGACUCCCUCGGCCCCACCCCAGAGAAGGCCCCGGAAACAGCUGAACCCCUGCCGGGGCACCGAGAGAGUGGACCCUGGGUUCGAGGGGGUGACUCUGAAGUUUCAGAUAAAGCCGGACUCCAGCCUGCAGAUCAUCCCCACGUACAGCCUGCCCUGCAGUAGCCGUUCUCAGGAAUCCCCUGCAGAUGCUGUUGGGGGCCCUGCAGCCCACCCAGGAGGCACCGAGGCCCACUCAGCAGGCAGCGAGGCCCUGGAGCCCCGGCGCUGUGCUUCCUGUCGGACCCAGAGGACCCCGCUCUGGAGAGACGCUGAAGAUGGGACCCCUCUCUGCAACGCCUGUGGGAUCAGGUACAAGAAAUACGGCACUCGCUGCUCCAGCUGCUGGCUGGUGCCCAGGAAAAAUGUCCAGCCCAAGAGGCUAUGUGGCAGAUGUGGAGUGUCCCUGGACCCCAUUCAGGAAGGUUAAACCCAGCUUCACCCUGCUGAGCUGCUGCUUCUGCCUCCGUUUCACCAGUGGGAGAAUGGGCAGAAGCAGCUCUCCUAGGAGGAUUGGGGAAAGAGCCGGCCUGCCUCCUCUCUGCCAUCUCCAGAUUCAAGGAUCCCGGGGGAAGACCCAGGCCUCAGGUGGCAGAGCCUGCUAGGGGUCACCAGCCCCUUCUCCAGUCAGCCUUGGCCGAGGCCCCCUCAGGAGACGCUCUCAGGAAGGAUGAGCAUUGUUACAGCAGGGACAAUAAAGUACAGAGAUAUGCCGAGA
This 2742-nucleotide long non-coding RNA is filed under the name Homo sapiens (human). RNAcentral's name for it is "FDX2-ZGLP1 readthrough (NMD candidate), transcript variant 2 (FDX2-ZGLP1)". Lineage: Eukaryota; Metazoa; Chordata; Mammalia; Primates; Hominidae. The record is from RNAcentral.